AAACACUACAUACAACUUCGAGGCUCCAACUCUUUCGCCAUCCCUCCGUCACUCCCUUCCCUCAUUCAAAGCAACAAAGAGAUUGCUUCAAAGAAAACCUUCAAUUGCGUGGGAUUUUGUGUUCAUUCCUCUUCAUAGUAGAUCUGGCUCCUUCCUCUUCAAGUUUCUUGGUUUUGUUCAUAGUAGACUUUUAAACUCACUUGGUUUCUCAUUUACCCACUCGGUCCACUGGCGGUUCUUGGGUUUCUCAUUUACCCUCUUGAUUUUCUUUGCUUCAUUAUUCAAUCUUUGUUAUCUCCCAAAUUCAAUCUUAGGUCUGUAUAUUAGUUCUUUCCUUUUGGAUGUGAAGGAUUAAUCACUUUGAACAAUGCCAUUAGUUUCACAUUUUUUUUGAAUUUGAAUUUAUAUUAUCUUUUUUUAAGCACAAACUUGUUUGGUUCUGAGAUUUACUUUAUUUAUUUUUAAUUACUUUGGGUUCUUUCCUUUUAGUUGUUUUUGUUUUGAAAUUGAAUAUAAGAGAAAAAGUUUUGCUAUGAUUUUUUUGUUUUGAUUUUUCUUAUAUCUUGAAGUCUCUCUAGACUCUUUCUAAAAAUUAUCUCUCUUUCUCUUUGUGUAGGUAAAAGUCUCUCUUUUGCUUGCUGGGUCAUUGAAGGGUUCUUUGGUUGAGCUUUGAGCUUUUUUUUAUUAGAGGAAAAGCUAAAUUUUUGGUUAAAGGAUUGUUGUUUGGUUUAUGGGUUUCUUUCCAACCUUGUUGGAGUGAGAAAUAGCAGUAAGUUUUGCCCUAUGUAUUUUUCUUUUUCAAAUUAUUAGUUAAUCAUACUUAUAAGUGUCUUUGGUUUAGAUUAUUUUCAAUUAUGCUCUUGACAAUGAAAAAUUAGAACUUUGGUGAAUCAUCUUUUUAUUGUACAUGAAAAAUAAUGCUUUAUACAAUUUUUUAGGUAAAUUGGUAGUUCACUUGUCUCAG
Molecule: unclassified non-coding RNA, 964 nt
Filed under: Hevea brasiliensis (rubber tree)
Lineage: Eukaryota; Viridiplantae; Streptophyta; Magnoliopsida; Malpighiales; Euphorbiaceae
Source: RNAcentral